GCCAGAUUAGCUCAGCGGUAGAGCGAAGGACUGAAAAUCCUUGCGUGCCCAGUUCGACUCUGGGAUCUGGCACAA
This 75-nucleotide transfer RNA is filed under the name Candidatus Moranbacteria bacterium RIFOXYA12_FULL_44_15. Its description in RNAcentral is "tRNA-Phe". It matches the Rfam family "tRNA". From Rfam's summary of the family: Transfer RNA (tRNA) molecules are approximately 80 nucleotides in length. Lineage: Bacteria; Candidatus Moraniibacteriota. The record is from RNAcentral. RNAcentral also lists the same sequence under 1 other name.